AUUACUCCUACGGGAGGCAGCAGUGGGGAAUAUUGGACAAUGGGCGAAAGCCUGAUCCAGCCAUGCCGCGUGUGUGAAGAAGGUCUUCGGAUUGUAAAGCACUUUAAGUUGGGAGGAAGGGCAGUAAGCGAAUACCUUGCUGUUUUGACGUUACCGACAGAAUAAGCACCGGCUAACUCUGUGCCAGCAGCCGCGGUAAUAAU
This 203-nucleotide ribosomal RNA is filed under the name uncultured bacterium. RNAcentral describes it as "partial 16S ribosomal RNA". It matches the Rfam family "Bacterial small subunit ribosomal RNA", at positions 332 to 527 of the family's 1533-position model. The record is from RNAcentral.